This 397-nucleotide ribosomal RNA is filed under the name uncultured bacterium. Its description in RNAcentral is "partial 16S ribosomal RNA". It matches the Rfam family "Bacterial small subunit ribosomal RNA", at positions 523 to 918 of the family's 1533-position model. The record is from RNAcentral.
AUACGUAGGGGGCGAGCGUUGUCCGGAAUGAUUGGGCGUAAAGGGCGCGUAGGCGGCCUGUUAAGUCUGGAGUGAAAGUCCUGUUUUCAAGAUGGGAAUUGCUUUGGAUACUGAUGGGCUUGAGUGCAGGAGAGGUUAUCGGAAUUCCCGGUGUAGCGGUGAAAUGCGUAGAGAUCGGGAGGAACACCAGUGGCGAAGGCGGGUAACUGGACUGCAACUGACGCUGAGGCGCGAAAGUGUGGGGAGCAAACAGGAUUAGAUACCCUGGUAGUCCACACUGUAGACGAUGAAUGCUAGGUGUAAGAGGUAUCGACCCCUUCUGUGCCGCAGUAAACACAGUAAGCAUUCCGCCUGGGGAGUACGGUCGCAAGAUUAAAACUCAAAUGAAUUGACGGGG